UCGCAAAUAUUGAACUUCAGAGCACCCGGGAAUUUUUGCAAACACACACACACACACACACACACACACACACGGGCAGAAGUAGAAAGCUGGGGAAGAUGUGGUUGUGCAGGAGCACAUGUGAAAAGGAGCUUAGCAGCCCAGAUGCCAGGGGGACCGGCGUGAGUCAGCUGGAGGAUGUGGGCGCCAACAACCUCGGGCAGGCCUGGACCAAGCAGAGCAUCCAGAAAAAGAAGGGUGCGGACUGGCUCUGCCUUAGCAGUGGUCAGACCACCCUGGAGGGCUGGCUCUGUCUGAAGGCCCAUCAUGUGACAGGAAAGGGUGUAUUCCGAGGACAGCUACAAAGAAGCUGGGAGGAGGAGAAGCACUGAGGAGUUAGCAAAGCCUGGUGUGAUAGCACACCCUUGGGAGACUGAGGCAGGAAGAUCAAUAGUUCGAGGCUAGCCUGAGGCUACGCGGUGAGACCCUAUCUCAAUAUAAACAGUGAAAAAAGAGGGCUGGGAACAUAGCUCAGUGGGAAGGUGCUCACCUAGCAUGUGCAAGGCCCCAGCUUCAAACCUCAGUAUUGGAAGAAAAGAAAAAGUUGGAGAAAAGAAAGAGAGCAUGGGCCGGGCGUUGGUGGCGCCCACCUUUAAUCCCAGCACUCGGGAGGCAGAGGCAGGAGGAUCUCUGUGAGUUCGAGGCCAGCCUGGUCUCCAGAGCGAGUGCCAGGAUAGGCUCCAAAGCUACACAGAGAAACCCCGUCUUGAAAAACCAAAAAAAAAAAAAAAAAAAAAAAAAAAAAAGAAAGAAAAAGAAAGAGAGCAUGGCCUACAGAAGGGCUUGAGUCAGGGUGGGCUUGUGCCUAGAAGUCCUCUGCCUCAUGUCACCCCGGUGAAGUCUUAUCUGUCCUUUGUAGCCUCCCCCUCUUCUAGAAGCCUUCCUUCACCUCUCUGCAGAACCAACCCCACUUCCCCAGGAACCCCUCCUCCUGGCAUCCUGGAAUCAGCCCCUGCAGGACAGCACCUGGGGCAAGGAGCCAUGUUUUAAGGGUGUAUCUGAGUAGGCAUCCCUGUUUGAUCAUCCCUAGUGCUUGCUCAGGUGAUUGUUCUUCAGCAGUAUCUGAUGAGCGGAAUGAGUUGCAUGAAAACUGUCAUGAUUUUGACCACGGGAAGACACUGUUCUUUCCAUGUGGCUUUGGAAAGACGGAAGUGGAAGAGAGGGCGGAUAUGACAAGACAGCGGACUUCAGCUAAAAUCAGGAAGUGUUUAUAACAAUAGUGACGACAGCUUCAUUAUGUCUUACUCGUGCAAUGCUACAUGAUAAGCAACUCCAAACAGCCCAGAGCAGUAGCAAGAAGCCCUUCAUUAAUUAUCUCACACAGCUCAUGCCAGCCAGGAACUCAGGAGUGGUGAGGAGAUUGGUUCCGGCUUGGCAUCUCUCAUGGGUUGCAGAUGCCAGCCAGGGCUGCGGUUAUCUGAAGAUGACAUUCUGGCAUACUCACGUGGUUGCUGAAGUCCUCAUUCAGAUUCACACACGAUCGACAACCUGAUUCUUCUCUUUCAUCAUCCACUUCCUAGUCUUCUGCUCCCAGUUCACUUUGAUCAGAGGCUACUGUCUCAACAUAGAUAAAGAGAAUCAUUUUGGAAGGACCUCAGAAAAAGGAGCUGCUGGGGUCCUCCUUUGUCUGCUGUGUUUACUUGUCCUAAUUGCCAAGACUCUGAAGAGGGGGAUGAAAACAAGAGAAGAUGUGAAGACAGCUUAUGAACUGUAAAGUAUUGUUAAAAUCAAAGCCAUUACACUUACUUUUUUUUUCUUAAGGAAUUUUCCAAUCCAUUCUAUCCUGAGUUAGAAAAAAAAAAAAAAAACAACAAAACAAAACAACUGAAAACACUUUAUUUUAUCCUGAAAUAUUUAAUAAGCUAUAAGAAGCAUUUUGAUUUGUGGGGGAAGAUGAAACCUCAAAUUGAACUUCUAAGUGCUUGGUUUGUGUUUAUUACUAAUUUAUUUCCUUGUUAAACUUCGGAUGACGUGUGAUAAACUGUCUGUGUCACCGUGCUAUUGAUUGUACUGCAUUAGAAGCUGAAUUAAAUGUACAUUACUCUGGGGCUGGUCACCGUGAUGGACGCUUUAAAAGGUUUUGAGGGAGAAUAAGUGAGAACCAUUAGGGCCCUUUAGACUCUGUCUCCCAUUGGCCCCUGUCACCCUGGGGAAGUUCUCCUGUAGCUUGGUGGCAUGUAUAACUUUGUCUUAAUGCUUCCCCUAAUGAUUUCUAAUGACUGCUUGGUCAUACCACAUACUUUGUAAAGAAAUAGCUGUCUCCCACAACCUUGUCUUGGGCUCAUUCUAGAAGAUUAGGCCUUUGUGUAUACCCAUGUCAGAUACAAAAUUUCGUGGUGAGUCUCUCAGUACUAGGUACUCCUCUGCUGGUGUGAUUAAAAAACAAAACAAAACAAACAACCAACAACAAAAACAUGUCCAGGAGCAGCUUACAGAGGGAAGACUUUAUUUGGCUUAUGGUUCCAGAGGAUAUGGGUGCAGCAAGACCAGGAGGCGGGGCAGCAGGUGGCAGGCAUAGCACCUGGAGCAGAAGCUAAGGGUUCACAUCUUAAACCUAAAGCAUGAAACAGAGAGCAGGCUGAAGAUGGCGAGGGUCUUUAAAGCCCCAAAGUCUGCCUCCAGUGACAUACUUCCUCCCAUAUGGCCACUCCUCUGAAGCCUCACAGUGCCACCAACUGGGUACCAAGUGCUCAAAUGCCUGAGCCUAUGGGGGAUAUUUCUAAUACAGACUAAGACAGUCGUCAUUUUAUGAGGUCAUUUGCUCAUUGAUUCAUCCAUCUAACACCAGUUGAAUAUUAACACUGUUAUAUUGAGACAGUGGCUCCUUUUAUACCACCAAGUUAUCACUGGGACCAGUACUUGGAAAGGAGUCACUGUUGACUUAUCCUAGAAGAAAGUGUCAAGUUAUGGGAAAAUGAAGAAGUGGAGGCCAGAGUCAGGUUUCUAUUCCAGUAUCUCCCAGGUGGGUGGCAUUGGUCAAGUCACUUUUUAAAAUUUAAUUGAGCAUUUCUUUGGGGCUUUAAUGUGGUUAGUUUUUGUAGAUAUGUAUACAUGAAGACUGUGUUGCUUAUUGUGUAUAAGGCCCUAAGUUUACUUCAGUGACUUAAUUAAUACAACAAACUAGGAGAGCUGGAGAGGUGGCUCAGUGGUUAAGAGCACUGCCUGCUCUUCGAGUUUAAGUCCCAGCAACCACAUGGUGGCAUACAACCAUCUGUAAUGAGAUCUGCUGCCCUCUUCUGGCCUGAAGGCAUACAUGCAGGCAGAAUACAGUAUACAUAAUAAAUAAAUAUUUAAAAAAAAUACAACAAAGUAGUGAUUUUACUUUUCUAUAUUGUAGGGAGUAACCCUGGUCACAGGGAUGUAACAGGGGUUUUAGAAGGAGGGAGAGAUGCACUCAGCUCUCUCGCUAGGCUCAUCGGACUGAGAAGAUAUUUUUGGGUCCUUGUGUGAGUAUUUUCCCCUAAUAAACUACCAUUAUAAACCUA
This 3524-nucleotide long non-coding RNA is filed under the name Cricetulus griseus (Chinese hamster). RNAcentral describes it as "lncRNA (ENSCGRG00015042043.1)". The record is from RNAcentral. Lineage: Eukaryota; Metazoa; Chordata; Mammalia; Rodentia; Cricetidae.